RNAcentral lists this ribosomal RNA (433 nucleotides) under uncultured bacterium. Its description in RNAcentral is "partial 16S ribosomal RNA". It matches the Rfam family "Bacterial small subunit ribosomal RNA", at positions 29 to 507 of the family's 1533-position model. The record is from RNAcentral.
AACGAACGCUGGCGGCAUGCCUAACACAUGCAAGUCGAACGAGACCUUCGGGUCUAGUGGCGCACGGGUGCGUAACGCGUGGGAACCUGCCCUUAGGUUCGGAAUAACUCCCCGAAAGGGGUGCUAAUACCGGAUAAUGUCUUCGGACCAAAGAUUUAUCGCCUUUGGAUGGGCCCGCGUUGGAUUAGCUAGUUGGUAGGGUAAAAGCCUACCAAGGCGACGAUCCAUAGCUGGUCUGAGAGGAUGAUCAGCCACACUGGGACUGAGACACGGCCCAGACUCCUACGGGAGGCAGGAGUGGGGAAUAUUGGACAAUGGGCGAAAGCCUGAUCCAGCCAUGCCGGGUGAGUGAUGAAGGCCUUAGGGUUGUAAAGCUCUUUUACCCGGGAUGAUAAUGACAGUACCGGGAGAAUAAGCUCCGGCUAACUCCGUG